RNAcentral lists this ribosomal RNA (199 nucleotides) under uncultured bacterium. RNAcentral describes it as "partial 16S ribosomal RNA". It matches the Rfam family "Bacterial small subunit ribosomal RNA", at positions 328 to 539 of the family's 1533-position model. The record is from RNAcentral.
ACGCUCGACACCUACGGGAGCGCAGCAGUGGGGAAUAUUGCACAAUGGGGGAAACCCUGAUGCAGCGACGCCGCGUGGAGGAAGAAGGUCUUCGGAUUGUAAACUCCUGUUGUUGGGGAAAAAGAGGAUGGUACCCAACAAGGAAGUGACGGCUAACUACGUGCCAGCAGCCGCGGUAAUCUGAGCGGGCUGGCAAGGC